UCUCCGUAGGUGAACCAGCGGAGGGAUCAUUACCGAGUUAGGAACUCUCAAGCCCAUCCUCCCAGCCUGUUUUUUUGUUACCUUGUUGCGUUGGCCGCUCCGCCCCGAUGAGCGCCCGCCGGAAGCCCACCGCUCUGCGCACGCUUCCGCCACUAGCGCCCCUAAACUCCUAAUAAACCUGUCGUCUGAAUACAUUUAUAAUAAAAAAAACUUUCAACAACGUAUCUCAUGAAUCUGGCAUCGAUGAAGAACACAGCAGAUCCGUAGAGCACACUUCUU
Molecule: unclassified non-coding RNA, 279 nt
Filed under: plant metagenome
Description: partial contains small subunit ribosomal RNA, internal transcribed spacer 1, and 5.8S ribosomal RNA
Source: RNAcentral